GGGUGCGAUCAUACCAGCACUAAUGCACCCGAUCCCAUCAGAACUCCGUAAUGAAGCGUGCUUGGGCGAGAGCAGUAGUAGGAUGGCUGACCUCCUGGGAAGUCCUCGUGUUGCACCCC
RNAcentral lists this ribosomal RNA (119 nucleotides) under Gossypium arboreum. The record is from RNAcentral. Lineage: Eukaryota; Viridiplantae; Streptophyta; Magnoliopsida; Malvales; Malvaceae.